This 253-nucleotide ribosomal RNA is filed under the name uncultured bacterium. RNAcentral describes it as "partial 16S ribosomal RNA". It matches the Rfam family "Bacterial small subunit ribosomal RNA", at positions 524 to 776 of the family's 1533-position model. The record is from RNAcentral.
UACGUAGGGCGCAAGCGUUGUCCGGAUUUAUUGGGCGUAAAGAGCGUGUAGGCGGCCUGACAAGUCUGCUGUGAAAACUCGAGGCUCAACCUCGAGAUGUCGGCGGAAACUGUCUGGCUAGAGUCCGGAAGAGGAGAGUGGAAUUCCUGGUGUAGCGGUGAAAUGCGCAGAUAUCAGGAAGAACACCUAUGGCGAAGGCAGCUCUCUGGGACGGUACUGACGCUGAGACGCGAAAGCGUGGGGAGCGAACAGG